AGAGUUUGAUCCUGGCUCAGAUUGAACGCUGGCGGCAUGCUUUACACAUGCAAGUCGAACGGUAACAGGCCGCAAGGUGCUGACGAGUGGCGAACGGGUGAGUAAUGCAUCGGAACGUGCCCAGUCGUGGGGGAUAACGCAGCGAAAGCUGCGCUAAUACCGCAUACGAUCUAUGGAUGAAAGCGGGGGACCGAAAGGCCUCGCGCGAUUGGAGCGGCCGAUGUCAGAUUAGGUAGUUGGGUGGGGUAAAGGCUCACCAAGCCAACGAUCUGUAGCUGGUCUGAGAGGACGACCAGCCACACUGGGACUGAGACACGGCCCAGACUCCUACGGGAGGCAGCAGUGGGGAAUUUUGGACAAUGGGCGCAAGCCUGAUCCAGCAAUGCCGCGUGCAGGAAGAAGGCCUUCGGGUUGUAGACUGCUUUUGUACGGAACGAAACGGCUCUGGUUAAUACCUGGGGCUAAUGACGGUACCGUAAGAAUAAGCACCGGCUAACUACGUGCCAGCAGCCGCGGUAAUACGUAUGGUGCAAGCGUUAAUCGGAAUUACUGGGCGUAAAGCGUGCGCAGGCGGUUUUGUAAGACAGGCGUGAAAUCCCCGGGCUCAACCUGGGAAUGGCGCUUGUGACUGCAAAGCUGGAGUGCGCAGAUGGGGAUGGAAUUCCGCGUGUAGCGUGAAUGCGUAGAUAUGCGGAGAACACCGAUGGCGAAGGCAAUCCCUGGGCCUGCACUGACCCUCAUGCACGAAGCGUGGGGGAGCAACAGGAUAAAUAGCGCUGGUAUUCCACGCCUAACGAUGUCCACUGUUGUUGGUCUCUUCUGACUCAUACGACUACCGUGAAUUGACCGCUGGGGAUACGGCCCAAGGUGAAAUCAAAGAAAUUCGGGCCCCCCCAAGCGGUGGUGAUUUGGUUUAAUUGAUGCAACGGAAAAACCUUACCCACCCUUUGACAUGUACGGAACUUACCAGAGAUGGUUUUGGUGCUCGAAAGAGAGCCGUAACACAGGUGCUGCAUGGCUGUCGUCAGCUCGUGUCGUGAGAUGUUGGGUUAAGUCCCGCAACGAGCGCAACCCUUGUCAUUAGUUGCUACGAAAGGGCACUCUAAUGAGACUGCCGGUGACAAACCGGAGGAAGGUGGGGAUGACGUCAAGUCCUCAUGGCCCUUAUAGGUGGGGCUACACACGUCAUACAAUGGCUGGUACAAAGGGUUGCCAACCCGCGAGGGGGAGCCAAUCCCAUAAAGCCAGUCGUAGUCCGGAUCGCAGUCUGCAACUCGACUGCGUGAAGUCGGAAUCGCUAGUAAUCGUGGAUCAGCAUGUCACGGUGAAUACGUUCCCGGGUCUUGUACACACCGCUCGUCACACCAUGGGAGCGGGUCUCGCCAGAAGUAGUUAGCCUAACCGCAAGGAGGGCGAUUACCACGGCGGGGUUCGUGACUGGGGUGAAGUCGUAACAAGGUAACCGUA
RNAcentral lists this ribosomal RNA (1467 nucleotides) under uncultured bacterium. RNAcentral describes it as "16S ribosomal RNA". It matches the Rfam family "Bacterial small subunit ribosomal RNA". The record is from RNAcentral.